AGCAGCCGCGGUAAUUCCAGCUCCAAUAGCGUAUAUUAAAGUUGUUGCAGUUAAAAAGCUCGUAGUUGAAUUUCGGGAUUAAUUUACUGGUCGUGCUAUUGUACGUACUGGUUUUAUUGAUUCCUCCCUUCUGACGAACUAUGAUGUCAUUAAUUUGGUGUCUUGGGGAAUCAGGACUGUUACUUUGAAAAAUUAGAGUGUUUAAAGCAGGCUCACGCUUGAAUACAUUAGCAUGGAAUAACGGAAUAGGACGUUUGAUUCUAUUUUGUUGGUUUCUAGGAUCGACGUAAUGAUUAAUAGGGAUAGUUGGGGGCAUUAGUAUUCAAUUGUCAGAGGUGAAAUUCUUGGAUUUAUUGAAGACUAACUACUGCGAAAGCAUUUGCCAAGGAUGUUUUCAUUAAUCAAGAACGAAAGUUAGGGGAUCGAAGACGAUCAGAUACCGUCGUAGUCUUAACCAUAAACUAU
RNAcentral lists this small RNA (465 nucleotides) under uncultured Glomus. RNAcentral's name for it is "SSU rRNA". It matches the Rfam family "Eukaryotic small subunit ribosomal RNA", at positions 569 to 1040 of the family's 1831-position model. Lineage: Eukaryota; Fungi; Glomeromycota; Glomeromycetes; Glomerales; Glomeraceae. The record is from RNAcentral.